AUGGGCUGGGGUGGAUUGGUUGGAGGUUCUCCAGAAAUUCCAUUUCCACUUCUCCAGAAGUUCCAUGGGCUGGGGGUUCCUGGUCACAGGUUCUCCAUAAAUUCAUUUUCUAUGGGUUCUUGGUCAGGGGUUCUCCAGAAGGUCCAUGGGCUGGGGUGGCUUGGUCAGAGGUUCUCCAGAAAUUCCAUUUCCAUGGAUUCUUGGUCGGAGGGUCUCCAGAAAUUCCAUGGGCUGGUGGGGUUGGUCACAGCUUCUCCAGAAGUUCCAUUUCCAUGGAUUUUUUGGUGGUGGUUUCUCCAUAAAUUUCAUUUUCUAUGGGUUCUUGGUCACAGGUUCUCCAUAAAUUCAUUUUCUGGGGGUUCUUGGUCAGAGGUUCUCCAGGAAUUCCAUGGGCUGGGGGGUUCUUGGUCACAACUUCUCCAGAAGUUCCACGGGCUGGGGGCUUGGGUGGAGGGUCUCCAGAAAUUCCAUUUUCCAUGGACUGGGCUUGGUCAGAGGUUCUCCAGAAAUUCCAUUUCCAUGGAUUUUUGGUCACAGCUUCUCCAGGAAUUCCAUGGGCUGGGGGGUUCUUGGUCAGAGCUUCUCCAGAAGGUCCAUGGGCUGGGGUGGAUUGGUUGGAGGUUCUCCAGAAGUUCCAUUUCCAUGGAUUUUUGGUCACAGGUUCUCCAGAAGCUCCAUGGGCUGGGGGUUUGGUCAGAAGUUCUCCAGAAAUUCCAUGGGCUGGGGGGCUUGGGUGGAGGGUCUCCAGAAAGUCCAUGGGCUGGUGGGGUUGGUCAGAGGGUCUCCAGAAAGUCCAUGGGCUGGUGGGGUUGGUCAGGGGUUCUCCAGAAAGUCCAUUUCCUGGGGUGGAUUGGUUGGAGGUUCUCCAGAAGUUCCAUUGGCUGGGGGGGCUUGGUCACAGCUUCUCCAGAAGUUCCAUUUCCGUGGAUUUUUUGGUGGUGGUUUCUCCAUAAAUUCAUUUUCUAUGGGUUCUUGGUCACAGCUUCUCCAGAAGUUCCAUUUGCUGGGGGUGCUUGGUCAGAGGUUCUCCAGAAAUUCCAUUUUCCAUGGAUUCUUGGUCAGAGGGUCUCCAGAAGCUCCAUGGGCUGGGGUGGCUUGGUCAGGGGUUUUCCAGAAGGUCUAUGGGCUGGGGUGGCUUGGUCGGAGGUUCUCCAGAAGUUCCAUUUCCAUGGAUUCUUGGUCAUAUUUUCUCCAGAAGGUCCAUUUUCCAUGGAUUCUUGGUGGUGGUUUCUCCAUAAAUUCCAUUUUCUGUGGGUUCUUGGUCAGAGGUUCUCCAGAAGUUCCAUUUUCCAUGGAUUUUUUGGUGGUGGUUUCUCCAGAAAUUCCAUGGAUUUUUUCCCACAAAUCCCACUAACAUUUCCCCCGUUUUCCAUGGAUUUUUUCCCAUAA
Molecule: long non-coding RNA, 1389 nt
Filed under: Zonotrichia albicollis (white-throated sparrow)
Lineage: Eukaryota; Metazoa; Chordata; Aves; Passeriformes; Passerellidae
Description: lncRNA (ENSZALG00000009160.1)
Source: RNAcentral